GAACACCUUGGUAUAACUUUAUUCACAAACUCCAGACACCCAGGCCUGGCUUAGCACAGAGGGCAUGUUCUUGCCAGUGGCAAAAAAACCCGAUACAGCAUGUUUGUUAAUACUAACCAUUUUAAUUUAAAUUAAUAGCAUGUCUGGAAGACAAAUGUAGUUGAUAGAAAAUAUAAAAACUUUACUGUACAAAUUUUACAUCACAUUCAAAAAAAGCAAGUGUGUGGCUUGUGGCCACAGAAGAUGCUAGGUUUGCACGCUGAUGAGAUCCUGGCUAACACUGCUGCAUAGCACAAACUCCAACUGGCUUCACAUUUACGUCUCCACCCUCCCCCCACACCAAAUCAACACAGAAUAACACAGGUUUCCAGGGCUUGCCAUUCCUCUCUGUGACCUCAAGAGGAAAUGCCGUAGGAUGACAGAGGGUGUUUUGAUUUGGUGACAUGGAGAGAUCAACUUUGCUACACACUGCUCACAACCCCAAACUAGCUAGGAUUCAAGACUUCGAGUUAGACAGAAACCCAGGGGGCUGCGGCUCUGGUGGUUAAAGGCAGGCAGUGCAGAGGUGGCAGGCUGAGAGCCAGCUGCCCCCAGUCCUUCAGUUCCACCUUUGGGGCCCAGUGGCUUCUGGGUUCCUUGAAGACAACAGGGCCCCA
This is a long non-coding RNA of Homo sapiens (human), 656 nucleotides long. The record is from Ensembl. NCBI's taxonomy places the organism in Eukaryota, Metazoa, Chordata, Mammalia, Primates, Hominidae.